This 936-nucleotide ribosomal RNA is filed under the name uncultured bacterium. Its description in RNAcentral is "bacterial SSU rRNA". It matches the Rfam family "Bacterial small subunit ribosomal RNA", at positions 509 to 1443 of the family's 1533-position model. The record is from RNAcentral.
CAGCCGCCGCGGUAAUACGGAGGGUGCAAGCGUUAAUCGGAAUUACUGGGCGUAAAGCGCGCGUAGGUGGCUUGAUAAGCCGGUUGUGAAAGCCCCGGGCUCAACCUGGGAACGGCAUCCGGAACUGUCAAGCUAGAGUGCAGGAGAGGAAGGUAGAAUUCCCGGUGUAGCGGUGAAAUGCGUAGAGAUCGGGAGGAAUACCAGUGGCGAAGGCGGCYUUYUGGACUGGACACUGACACUGAGGUGCGAAAGCGUGGGUAGCAAACAGGAUUAGAUACCCUGGUAGUCCACGCCGUAAACGAUGUCGACCAGCCGUUGGGUGCCUAACGCACUUUGUGGCGAAGUUAACGCGAUAAGUCGACCGCCUGGGGAGUACGGCCGCAAGGUUAAAACUCAAAUGAAUUGACGGGGGCCCGCACGAGCGGUGGAGCAUGUGGUUUAAUUCGAUGCAACGCGAAGAACCUUACCUACUCUUGACAUCCUGCGAAUUUGGUAGAGAUACCUUAGUGCCUUCGGGAACGCAGAGACAGGUGCUGCAUGGCUGUCGUCAGCUCGUGUUGUGAAAUGUUGGGUUAAGUCCCGUAACGAGCGCAACCCUUGUCCUUAUUUGCCAGCGCGUAAUGGCGGGAACUCUAAGGAGACUGCCGGUGACAAACCGGAGGAAGGUGGGGACGACGUCAAGUCAUCAUGGCCCUUACGAGUAGGGCUACACACGUGCUACAAUGGUCGGUACAAAGGGUUGCCAACUCGCGAGAGUGAGCCAAUCCCGAAAAGCCGAUCUCAGUCCGGAUCGGAGUCUGCAACUCGACUCCGUGAAGUCGGAAUCGCUAGUAAUCGUGGAUCAGAAUGCCACGGUGAAUACGUUCCCGGGCCUUGUACACACCGCCCGUCACACCAUGGGAGUGGACUGCACCAGAAGUGGUUAGCCUAACGCAA